Thermobrachium celere DSM 8682 is the source of this 126-nucleotide regulatory RNA element. It matches the Rfam family "Ribosomal protein L10 leader". From Rfam's summary of the family: This family is a putative r-protein leader autoregulatory structure found in B. subtilis and other low-GC Gram-positive bacteria. It is located in the 5' untranslated regions of mRNAs encoding ribosomal proteins L10 and L12 (rplJ-rplL). NCBI's taxonomy places the organism in Bacteria, Bacillati, Bacillota, Clostridia, Eubacteriales, Clostridiaceae. The record is from Rfam.
CUGAAUACGAAAAAAACGCCGUAGACAGUAGGUGCCAGUAGGCAUAACGGGUAACCAACCUACCGAGGUUUUAGAUAUGAUAUUUAGGCCUCUCUAUGUCUACGGGAGGCCUUUUGUGUUGUGCAA